RNAcentral lists this ribosomal RNA (620 nucleotides) under Curtobacterium sp. I12A-00748. RNAcentral's name for it is "bacterial SSU rRNA". It matches the Rfam family "Bacterial small subunit ribosomal RNA", at positions 92 to 725 of the family's 1533-position model. Lineage: Bacteria; Bacillati; Actinomycetota; Actinomycetes; Micrococcales; Microbacteriaceae. The record is from RNAcentral.
UUAGUGGCGAACGGGUGAGUAACACGUGAGUAACCUGCCCCUGACUCUGGGAUAAGCGUUGGAAACGACGUCUAAUACUGGAUAUGAUCGCCGGCCGCAUGGUCUGGUGGUGGAAAGAUUUUUUGGUUGGGGAUGGACUCGCGGCCUAUCAGCUUGUUGGUGAGGUAAUGGCUCACCAAGGCGACGACGGGUAGCCGGCCUGAGAGGGUGACCGGCCACACUGGGACUGAGACACGGCCCAGACUCCUACGGGAGGCAGCAGUGGGGAAUAUUGCACAAUGGGCGAAAGCCUGAUGCAGCAACGCCGCGUGAGGGAUGACGGCCUUCGGGUUGUAAACCUCUUUUAGUAGGGAAGAAGCGAAAGUGACGGUACCUGCAGAAAAAGCACCGGCUAACUACGUGCCAGCAGCCGCGGUAAUACGUAGGGUGCAAGCGUUGUCCGGAAUUAUUGGGCGUAAAGAGCUCGUAGGCGGUUUGUCGCGUCUGCUGUGAAAUCCCGAGGCUCAACCUCGGGCUUGCAGUGGGUACGGGCAGACUAGAGUGCGGUAGGGGAGAUUGGAAUUCCUGGUGUAGCGGUGGAAUGCGCAGAUAUCAGGAGGAACACCGAUGGCGAAGGCAGA